GACAUAGGUGGCGAACGUUAUCCGGAUUUAUUGGGCGUAAAGAGCUCGUAGGCGGUGUGUCGCGUCGGCCGUGAAAACCUGCAGCUUAACUGUGGGCUUGCGGUCGAUACGGGCAUCACUGGAGUUCGGCAGGGGAGACUGGAAUUCCUGGUGUAGCGGUGAAAUGCGCAGAUAUCAGGAGGAACACCGGUGGCGAAGGCGGGUCUCUGGGCCGAUACUGACGCUGAGGAGCGAAAGCGUGGGGAGCGAACAGG
RNAcentral lists this ribosomal RNA (254 nucleotides) under uncultured bacterium. RNAcentral describes it as "partial 16S ribosomal RNA". It matches the Rfam family "Bacterial small subunit ribosomal RNA", at positions 524 to 776 of the family's 1533-position model. The record is from RNAcentral.